CCUACGGGAGGCAGCAGUGAGGAAUAUUGGUCAAUGGGCGCGAGCCUGAACCAGCCAAGUAGCGUGAAGGAUGACUGCCCUACGGGUUGUAAACUUCUUUUGUAAAGGAAUAAAGUGAGGCACGUGUGACUUUUUGUAUGUACUUUAUGAAUAAGGAUAGGCUAACUCCGUGCCAGCAGCCGAGGUAAUACGGAGGGGCCGAGCGUUAUCCGGAUUUAUUGGGUUUAAAGGGAGCGUAGAUGGGUUGUUAAGUCAGUUGUGAAAGUCUGCGGCUCAACCGUAAAAUUGCAAUUGAUACUGGCAGUCUUGAGUACAGUAGAGGUAGGCAGAAUUCGUGGUGUAGCGGUGAAAUGCGUAGAUAUCACGAAGAACUCCGAUUGCGAAGGCAGCUUACUAAACUGACACUGACAUUGAUGCGCGAAAGUGUGGGUAUCAAACAGGAUUAGAUACCCUUGUAGUC
This 460-nucleotide ribosomal RNA is filed under the name uncultured bacterium. RNAcentral describes it as "partial 16S ribosomal RNA". It matches the Rfam family "Bacterial small subunit ribosomal RNA", at positions 338 to 795 of the family's 1533-position model. The record is from RNAcentral.